Molecule: ribosomal RNA, 585 nt
Filed under: uncultured Ascomycota
Lineage: Eukaryota; Fungi; Ascomycota
Description: partial 18S ribosomal RNA
Rfam family: 5.8S ribosomal RNA (bases 211-364)
Source: RNAcentral
GGAAGUAAAAGUCGUAAACAAGGUUUCCGUAGGUGAACCUGCGGGAGGAUCAUUACAGAAAUAGGAGAAGGUUGCUUAACUGCAAUCCUUUUCUUUCUACACAUGUGUUUUCCUUUUUUUGAAAACUUUGCUUUGGUGGGCCCACGGCCUGCCAGAGAUUAAACUCAACCAAAUUUUUAUUUAAUUGUCAACUUGAUUAACUAAUAGUCAAAACUUCAACAACGGAUCUCUUGGUUCUCGCAUCGAUGAAGAACGCAGCGAAAUGCGAUAAGUAAUAUGAAUUGCAGAUAUUCGUGAAUCAUCGAAUCUUUGAACGCACAUUGCGCCCUUUGGUAUUCCAAAGGGCAUGCCUGUUUGAGCGUCAUUUCUCCCUCAAACCUUCGGGUUUGGUGUUGAGCGAUACGCUGGGUUUGCUUGAAAGAAAGGCGGAGUAUAAACUAAUAGAUAGGUUUUUUUUUUCCACUCAUUGGAACAAACUCCAAACAUUCUUCCAAAUUCGACCUCAAAUCAGGUAGGACUACCCGCUGAACUUAAGCAUAUCAAUAAGCGGAGGAAAAGAAACCAACAGGGAUUGCCCUAGUAACG